This 2450-nucleotide long non-coding RNA is filed under the name Gossypium barbadense (sea-island cotton). Its description in RNAcentral is "long non-coding RNA (GBAR_LNC005317)". Lineage: Eukaryota; Viridiplantae; Streptophyta; Magnoliopsida; Malvales; Malvaceae. The record is from RNAcentral.
AAUAUUGAAGAAAGAAAAGGGGGAAGACUUUCGGUUAUUUGAAUGCUUAAGAAGGUUAGUAUAUUGUGUUAAAAUUAUGAAAUUUAGCUUUUUUUAGGUUAAUUAUCAUGGUUCUUACUUAGCCCAUGCUAAAUUUUUAAGUUUUGAUGGAUGGAUGGAGCAUUCAGUUAUGGUUAUUAAAGAAGGAAUUUGAUUAUUUCCUUUAAGUUUUGAUGAAGAAUGUGUUGAGGAAAGAAAUUCAUCUUGCUAAAAAUAUGAAUUUUUAAUGCUCAUAUAUGUAAUAGCCGAAAAUAAAAAUGCUUGAUGUCUUGAACAAAUGUUGUUUCGAUGUAUUAAAUUGAGUAAAUUAGAUGUUUGAACACUUAAGGAUUCGGCAUUGUUCAUGAUUUUUUUUAGAAUGUGAUUUUGAAUGAUAUGAGUAAUAUUAUGCAUAGGUUUCGGCUUUGAUAAGUAAAAAUAUAAUGGUGACUUAAGUUGAAUAACACUCGGCUAAGGAUUAUCAAUGUUAGCUAAUUUGGCAUAAGAGUAUAGGUGACAACUACUUUGUAUUUGAAGUUUUGAAGAAUAGGUAGGGUUUAAUUAAGUGAUGAAGGUUAAAUUUUUUAAGUUUGGUUAAAUUGGGCAUUCGGCAUUACUUAUGACAUCGGAUAAGAGUGUAUGAUAGGCUAAGUUUGAGUAGUUAAGUACAUUAAAAUAGUUGAUGAUUUGAGUACUACCUAUGGUUGAUUCGGUUAUGGUCUUUGCAUGAGUAAAGUGUUAUUAUGUGCAUAUAUGCUAAGGAAUAUUCAACUAUGUUAUAAAUAUUAUAAAAUGAAAUGGUGUAUAUGGAAUUAUGAUAAGAGAUAUAUUUUGAUUUUGUUACAAAUUAUAAUCCAGCACUUACUCCAUGAUAAAAAACAUGAAAUUAUAUGCAAAUUUAGUUUAUGAAAUUCGAUUAUGCAAGGUAAUAAGUUAGUAAAAUGUUCCUUGAUAGUUUAGUUUAUUAAUUGGGAAUAAAUGUGAUUGUCGAUUGUAGCCUAGUAAUAUGUUCGAUUAUGCAUGAGUAGGGCAUAUGAAUGAUGUUUAAAUAGCUAGUUUAGUAAGGUCAUUUGUACCUUAAAUAUAUGAUAUAUAUAUACAUAUUAAAUUAAAUUGAUUAAUUGAUAAGUAAUUGAACAAAAUUCAUUUGUUUAAAUUAAGCUCAAGAGUAAAGAGGAACUAAUUCAAAUAGGGGAAAGGAGAAAGCAAUCGAGUAGCCUAUCUGCAACUAUUCAAAACAUCCGAGGUAAGUCUUUGAGUAAUGGAACUUAGCUUAUGAUUUGAUAAAAUCAUGAUAUAUAAGCAUAAUAUAUAAAUUGUAAACUAAUGUUUCUACUUGAAUUAAGUAGUGAGAUAAAUAAUUUGUACAUAUGACUUGUAUUCGAAUGCUUAUAGAGAUCAUGUUGAAUAUUGAAAUGAAAUCGGUUUCUUUGUACGUGGCUAUUAAGCCGAAAGUGAAAUUAUUGAUAAGCAUGUUGUGCUUGUGUUCUAGUAAGGUAAAUGAAAUGCUAAUGUAUUAAGAUAUAUAUAUGUGCACGAUAAUUGAGGAUUUUAACCGGGCUAAGACCCGCAGGCCUUGUGUGAGAUUUAUAUCCGGGCUAAGUCCCGAAGGCAUUCGUGCUGGUGUUAUAUCCGGGCUAAGUCCCGAAGGUAUUCGUGCUGGUAUUAUAUCCGGGCUAAGUCCCGAAGGCAUUCGUGCUGAUAUUAUAUCCGGGCUAAGUCCCGAAGGCAUUCGUGCUGAUGUUAUAUCCGGGCUAAGUUGCGAAGGCAUUUGGGUUGGAAAUGUGUGAUCUUGCUGUAAUAAUUCAAAUAAAUGGGCUCACAAACCUAAGAUGGUCAGGUAUGUACCAUAUAUAUGUUAUAAAAAUUGAUUCGGUUUAAAUUGUGAUUAUUCAUUUAGAUAGUGUUCUUUCGGCCAUUGCAUAUGGUUGUAUGAAGUAUAUAUAUAACUUAUUCAGGAUAUUUGAAUUUUGAUUCAAGUGAAAAUAUGUUAAGAUUGGCUCUGAGUAUGUAAGUAUAUUUGUUGAAGUAUAAAGUAACAUGAACAUGUGAAUAUGCGUAUAUGUAUUUAUUUAGCCUUGAAAUUGAAUGAGAUGUAUUCGGCUAAAUAAUGAAGUUGGUUGAAUAAAAAGAAGUUAUCUAUGUGAUAUGAAUUGAUGUUUAAGGAAUAAAUUAAAAUGACAGGCAUGAACAAUAGUAGUAUAUUUAGACAUGUUUAUAUUAGGUCAAAGAAAAGAUGAUAAGCAAUAUGAAUGCUAUGCCUUAAUUUUUAAUGAUUUCAUUACUUAAAAGUUACUAAGCAUAGAAAUGUUUACUAUGUUGCUUUAAUCCUCUGUUUUAUAGAUCUUGUUCGUUAGCUACGGUCUCGGGGAUCCCAAAGUCGAAGUCGUCCACACUAUCUAAGCCCAUUCUGUACACUAGUAGUUAAACUU